Molecule: ribosomal RNA, 455 nt
Filed under: uncultured Rhodocyclaceae bacterium
Lineage: Bacteria; Pseudomonadati; Pseudomonadota; Betaproteobacteria; Rhodocyclales; Rhodocyclaceae
Description: bacterial SSU rRNA
Rfam family: Bacterial small subunit ribosomal RNA
Source: RNAcentral
AAGCGGUGGAUGAUGUGGAUUAAUUCGAUGCAACGCGAAAACCUUACCUACCCUUGACAUGUCCGGAAUCCCGAAGAGAUUUGGGAGUGCUCGCAAGAGAACCGGAACACAGGUGCUGCAUGGCUGUCGUCAGCUCGUGUCGUGAGAUGUUGGGUUAAGUCCCGCAACGAGCGCAACCCUUGUCAUUAGUUGCCAUCAUUUGGUUGGGCACUUUAAUGAGACUGCCGGUGACAAACCGGAGGAAGGUGGGGAUGACGUCAAGUCCUCACGGCCCUUAUGGGUAGGGCUUCACACGUCAUACGAUGGUCGGUACAGAGGGUUGCCAACCCGCGAGGGGGAGCUAAUCCCACAAAGCCGAUCGUAGUCCGGAUCGCAGUCUGCAACUCGACUGCGUGAAGUCGGAAUCGCUAGUAAUCGUGGAUCAGCAUGUCACGGUGAAUACGUUCCCGGGUCUU